CCUACGGGUGGCAGCAGUGAGGAAUAUUGGUCAAUGUGCGCGAGCCUGAACCAGCCAAGUCGCGUGAGGGAGGACGGCCCUACGGGUUGUAAACCUCUUUUGCCGGGGAGCAACGGGCGUCACGUGUGGCGCCCCUGAGAGUACCCGGAGACAAAGCAUCGGCUAACUCCGUGCCAGCAGCCGCGGUAAUACGGAGGAUGCGAGCGUUAUCCGGAUUUAUUGGGUUUAAAGGGUGCGUAGGCGGAUCGUUAAGUCAGUGGUCAAAUUGAGGGGCUCAACCCCUUCCCGCCAUUGAAACUGGCGCUCUUGAGUGGAAGAGAAGUAGGCGGAAUGCGUGGUGUAGCGGUGAAAUGCAUAGAUAUCACGCAGAACCCCGAUUGCGAAGGCAGCAUGCCGUGCCGCCACUGACGCUGAGGCACGAAAGCGCGGGGAUCGAACAGGAUUAGAUACCCUGGUAGUC
RNAcentral lists this ribosomal RNA (460 nucleotides) under uncultured bacterium. RNAcentral's name for it is "partial 16S ribosomal RNA". It matches the Rfam family "Bacterial small subunit ribosomal RNA", at positions 338 to 795 of the family's 1533-position model. The record is from RNAcentral.